UCUUGGUCAGGAUGAACGCUGGCGGCGUGCCUAAUACAUGCAAGUGAAACGGGUAUCUUCGGAUACCAGUCGCGGACGGGUGAGUAAUACAUAGGCAACCUGCCUUUAUGAGGGGGAUAACCGAGGGAAACUUUGGCUAAUACCGCAUGAAGACUCUAAGGCAUCUUAGAGGGAUAAAAGUUGGGAAACAACGCAUGAAGAUGGGCUUAUGGCGCAUUAGCUAGUUGGUGAGAUAGAAGCCCACCAAGGUAAUGAUGCGUAGCCGACCUGAGAGGGUGAACGGCCACAUUGGGACUGAGACACGGCCCAAACUCCUACGGGAGGCAGCAGUAGGGAAUUUUCGGCAAUGGGGGGAACCCUGACCGAGCAACGCCGCGUGAAAAGGAAGAAGGUUUUCGGAUUGUAAACUUCUGUUAUAAGGGAAGAACGGAUUGGAUAGGGAAUGAUCUGAUAGUGACGGUACCUUAUUAGAAAGCCACGGCUAACUACGUGCCAGCCGCAGC
Molecule: ribosomal RNA, 503 nt
Filed under: uncultured bacterium
Lineage: Bacteria
Description: bacterial SSU rRNA
Rfam family: Bacterial small subunit ribosomal RNA
Source: RNAcentral